UUUACAGGUCUGGCAAUUGGAAUGAGAACAAUUUAAAUCCCUUAUCGAGUACCAAUUGGAGGGCAAGUCUGGUGCCAGCAGCCGCGGUAAUUCCAGCUCCAAUAGCGUAUAUUAAAGUUGUUGCAGUUAAAAAGCUCGUAGUUGGAUUUCUGGCAGGGGUGAACGGCCACACACAAUGUGUGUGAGCUUGUUUAUCUCGCCACCCUUGGGGAGAUUUUGCUUGGCAUUAAGUUGUCGGGUAAAGGAUACCCAUCGUUUACUGUGAAAAAAUUAGAGUGUUUAAAGCAGGCUUAUGCCGUUGAAUAUAUUAGCAUGGAAUAAUAAGAUAGGACUUUGAGUCUAUUUUGUUGGUUUGCGAGUCAAAGUAAUGAUUAAUAGGGACAGUUGGGGGUAUUCGUAUUUCAUUGUCAGAGGUGAAAUUCUUGGAUUUCUGAAAGACGAACUACUGCGAAAGCAUUUACCAAGGAUGUUUUCAUUAAUCAAGAACGAAAGUUAGGGGA
Molecule: ribosomal RNA, 500 nt
Filed under: uncultured diatom
Lineage: Eukaryota; Bacillariophyta
Description: SSU rRNA
Rfam family: Eukaryotic small subunit ribosomal RNA
Source: RNAcentral